This 1531-nucleotide ribosomal RNA is filed under the name uncultured Planctomycetota bacterium. Its description in RNAcentral is "bacterial SSU rRNA". It matches the Rfam family "Bacterial small subunit ribosomal RNA". Lineage: Bacteria; Pseudomonadati; Planctomycetota. The record is from RNAcentral.
UAGAGUUUGAUCAUGGCUCAGAACGAACGCUGGCGGCGUGGAUUAGGCAUGCAAGUCGAACGAGGAUAUAUCCUUCGGGAUAUAAGCCGAGUGGCACAAGGGUGAGCAAUGCAUAGAUUACCUACCUUUAGGAUAAGGACAACUUUGUGAAAACGGAGCUAAUACUUAAUAAUACAAAAGAAAAUAAUUUUCUUUUGUCAAAGGGAGGGUAGCAAUACCUUUCGCCUAGAGAGGGGUUUAUGUCCUAUCAGCUUGUUGGUGGGGUAAUAGCCUACCAAGGCAAAGACGGGUAGCCGGUUUAAGAGGAUGGUCGGCCACACUGGGACUGAGACACUGCCCAGACUUCUACGGAAGGCUGCAGUCGAGAAUCUUUCGCAAUGCCCGAAAGGGUGACGAAGCGACGCCGCGUGGGUGAAGAAGGCCUUCGGGUUGUAAAACCCUGUCAGGAGUUAUGAAAUGUAAGUACGCUAAUAUCGUGCUUAUUUGACAAAGGCUCCAAAGGAAGCCACGGCUAACUCUGUGCCAGCAGCCGCGGUAAUACAGAGGUGGCGAGCGUUGUUCGGAAUUAUUGGGCGUAAAGAGCACGUAGGUGGGUUUGCAAGUCAGAUGUGAAAGCCUUCUGUUCAACGGGAGAAUUGCAUCUGAAACUGCUAAUCUUGAGUAUAGGAGGGGAGAAUGGAACUUCUGGUGGAGCGGUGAAAUGCGUAGAUAUCAGAAGGAACGCCGGCGGCGAAAGCGAUUCUCUGGCCUAUUACUGACACUCAGUGUGCGAAAGCUAGGGGAGCAAACGGGAUUAGAUACCCCGGUAGUCCUAGCCGUAAACGAUGGGCACUAAGUAGAGGGAAUUACCUAUGUUCUCUCUGCCGUAGCUAACGCAUUAAGUGCCCCGCCUGGGGAGUACGGCCGCAAGGCUAAAACUCAAAAGAAUUGACGGGGGCUCGCACAAGCGGUGGAGCAUGUGGCUUAAUUCGAUGCAACGCGAAAAACCUUACCGGGGCUUGACAUGAUAGAAGUAGGAACCUGAAAGGGGGACGAACGGUAUCCAGUCCGUAGCUAUUACAGGUGUUGUAUGGCUGUCGUCAGCUCGUGUCGUGAGACGUUGGGUUAAGUCCCCUAACGAGCGAAACCCUUGUUUUUAGUUACCAGCGGGUUAUGCCGGGUACUCUAGAAAGACUGCCGUCGUCAAGACGGAGGAAGGUGGGGAUGACGUCAAGUCAUCAUGGCCCUUAUGCCCCGGGCUGCACACGUGCUACAAUGGUCGGUACAAACGGAAGCGAAGCCGAGAGGUGUAGCGAAUCCUAAAAAGCCGAUCUCAGUUCGGAUUGGAGGCUGAAAUUCGCCUCCAUGAAGUUGGAAUCGCUAGUAAUCGCGGAUCAGCAAUGUCGCGGUGAAUAUGUUCCCGAGCCUUGUACACACCGCCCGUCAAGCCACCCAAGCAGGAUGCACCCGAAAACAUUAUAUCUAACCAGGGCAACUUGGAGGAAAAUGUUGAAGGAGUGUUUUGUGAGGAGGACUAAGUCGUAACAAGGUA